UAUGGAAGUAAAGGUCGUAACAAGGUCUCCGUUGGUGAACCAGCGGAGGGAUCAUUA
RNAcentral lists this ribosomal RNA (57 nucleotides) under Ramophialophora humicola. RNAcentral describes it as "partial 18S ribosomal RNA". It matches the Rfam family "Eukaryotic small subunit ribosomal RNA", at positions 1775 to 1831 of the family's 1831-position model. The record is from RNAcentral. Lineage: Eukaryota; Fungi; Ascomycota; Sordariomycetes; Sordariales.